UCCAAGUUUCUAGUCUCAUCUUUCAGUAGG
This 30-nucleotide non-coding RNA is filed under the name Homo sapiens (human). Lineage: Eukaryota; Metazoa; Chordata; Mammalia; Primates; Hominidae. The record is from RNAcentral.